Molecule: ribosomal RNA, 460 nt
Filed under: uncultured bacterium
Lineage: Bacteria
Description: partial 16S ribosomal RNA
Rfam family: Bacterial small subunit ribosomal RNA
Source: RNAcentral
CCUACGGGGGACAGCAGUGAGGAAUAUUGGUCAAUGGACGAGAGUCUGAACCAGCCAAGUAGCGUGAAGGAUGACUGCCCUAUGGGUUGUAAACUUCUUUUAUAUGGGAAUAAAACGUUCCACGUGUGGGAUUUUGUAUGUACCAUAUGAAUAAGGAUCGGCUAACUCCGUGCCAGCAGCCGCGGUAAUACGGAGGAUCCGAGCGUUAUCCGGAUUUAUUGGGUUUAAAGGGAGCGUAGGUGGAUUGUUAAGUCAGUUGUGAAAGUUUGCGGCUCAACCGUAAAAUUGAAGUUGAAACUGGCAGUCUUGAGUACAGUAGAGGUGGGCGGAAUUCGUGGUGUAGCGGUGAAAUGCUUAGAUAUCACGAAGAACUCCGAUUGCGAAGGCAGUUCACUGGACUGCAACUGACACUGAGGCUCGAAAGUGUGGGUAUCAAACAGGAUUAGAUACCCGGGUAGUC